RNAcentral lists this unclassified non-coding RNA (235 nucleotides) under Hevea brasiliensis (rubber tree). The record is from RNAcentral. Lineage: Eukaryota; Viridiplantae; Streptophyta; Magnoliopsida; Malpighiales; Euphorbiaceae.
AAGAAAUGGCUGCUUAUGAACAGCAUAAGAACAAAGAAACUACAACAAAUCCAAACUUGCACAGGGGUUUGGCCCCAAGUAUGAUCAACUUUGGUGCACGGAAUUGAUCAUGGUUAUCAUGUGACUUCACAAGCUUAUACUGGAAGCAACAUUCUCCCUAAUGCAUCCUUUAUUGAGUCCACGGUACAAAUAUUGAAUAAUGUUAAGACAAGUAACCCCAUAUUUCAGAUGUAUU